AAAAUGACUCUCAGCAACGGAUAUCUUGGCUCUUGCAACGAUGAAGAACGCAGCGAAAUGCGAUACCUAGUGUGAAUUGCAGAAUUCCGCGAAUCAUCGAG
Molecule: ribosomal RNA, 101 nt
Filed under: Kymatolejeunea bartlettii
Lineage: Eukaryota; Viridiplantae; Streptophyta; Jungermanniopsida; Porellales; Lejeuneaceae
Description: 5.8S ribosomal RNA
Rfam family: 5.8S ribosomal RNA
About the family: 5.8S ribosomal RNA (5.8S rRNA) is a component of the large subunit of the eukaryotic ribosome. It is transcribed by RNA polymerase I as part of the 45S precursor that also contains 18S and 28S rRNA. Functionally, it is thought that 5.8S rRNA may be involved in ribosome translocation.
Source: RNAcentral